Molecule: ribosomal RNA, 1441 nt
Filed under: uncultured Candidatus Pelagibacter sp.
Lineage: Bacteria; Pseudomonadati; Pseudomonadota; Alphaproteobacteria; Candidatus Pelagibacterales; Candidatus Pelagibacteraceae
Description: bacterial SSU rRNA
Rfam family: Bacterial small subunit ribosomal RNA
Source: RNAcentral
AGGGUUUGAUCAUGGCUCAGAACGUACGCUGGCGGCACGCCUAAUACAUGCAAGUCGAACGAAGUAGCAAUACUUAGUGGCAGACGGGUGAGUAACAUGUAGGUAUCUUCCCUUCGGUGAGGAAUAACACGAGGAAACUUGUGCUAAUACCUCAUAAGUCUUCACGGAGAAAGCUUUAUGCACCGAUGGAUGAGCCUGCACUUGAUUAGUUUGUUGGUAGGGUAAUGGCCUACCAAGACAAUGAUCAAUAGCUGAUUUGAGAGGAUGAUCAGCCACAUUGGGACUGAGACACGGCCCAAACUCCUACGGGAGGCAGCAGUAGGGAAUCUUGCACAAUGGGGGAAACCCUGAUGCAGCGAUGCCGCGUGAGUGAAGAAGGCCUUUGGGUUGUAAAGCUCUUUCGUCGGGGAAGAAAAUGACUGUACCCGAAUAAGAAGGUCCGGCUAACUUCGUGCCAGCAGCCGCGGUAAUACGAAGGGACCUAGCGUAGUUCGGAAUUACUGGGCUUAAAGAGUUCGUAGGUGGUUAAAAAAGUUGGUGGUGAAAUCCCAGAGCUUAACUCUGGAACUGCCAUCAAAACUUUUUAGCUAGAGUAUGAUAGAGGAAAGCAGAAUUUCUAGUGUAGAGGUGAAAUUCGUAGAUAUUAGAAAGAAUACCAAUUGCGAAGGCAGCUUUCUGGAUCAUUACUGACACUGAGGAACGAAAGCAUGGGUAGCGAAGAGGAUUAGAUACCCUCGUAGUCCAUGCCGUAAACGAUGUGUGUUAGACGUUGGAAAUUUAUUUUCUGUGUCGCAGCGAAAGCAAUAAACACACCGCCUGGGGAGUACGACCGCAAGGUUAAAACUCAAAUGAAUUGACGGGGACCCGCACAAGUAGUGGAGCAUGUGGUUUAAUUCGAAGAUACGCGCAGAACCUUACCAACACUUGACAUGUUCGUCGCGACUUUAAGAGAUUAAAGUUUUCGGUUCGGCCGGACGAAACACAGGUGCUGCAUGGCUGUCGUCAGCUCGUGUCGUGAGAUGUUGGGUUAAGUCCCGCAACGAGCGCAACCCUCACUUUUAGUUGCCAUCAUUUAGUUGGGCACUCUGAAAGAACUGCCAGUGAUAAGCUGGAGGAAGGUGGGGAUGACGUCAAGUCCUCAUGGCCCUUACGUGUUGGGCUACACACGUGCUACAAUGGCAUUUACAAUAGGAAGCAAGACGGCGACGUUAAGCAAAUCCUAAAAAAAUGCCUCAGUUCGGAUUGUACUCUGCAACUCGAGUACAUGAAGCUGGAAUUACUAGUAAUCGCGGAUCAGCGCGCCGCGGUGAAUACGUUCCCGGGUCUUGUACACACCGCCCGUCACACCAUGGGAGUUGGUUCUACCUUAAGGCAAAGUUUAACACCUUUGACCACGGUAUAGUCAGCGGCUGGGGUGAAGUCGUAACAAGGUAACCAAGGG